Molecule: long non-coding RNA, 266 nt
Filed under: Ixodes scapularis (black-legged tick)
Lineage: Eukaryota; Metazoa; Arthropoda; Arachnida; Ixodida; Ixodidae
Description: uncharacterized LOC120843197
Source: RNAcentral
CAGGUUGACCACGUGACCGUAUGUCAACGGACCGUCAAGGCCGUCAAGGCCUGUUUCAUCGGACCGCUCUGCCGAUCUCUCGGCGUGGAGGAAACGUAAACAAAGGAGCUGUGCGCACCUGCUUUAAACAGAAGGCAGAAAACAAUGAGCCAGCCAUCAUCGUGCAGGAAGCCGACGCCAAAUGGGCUGCUGCUGAAUUGGUCAGGCAUGCACCAGCUAGGACCAAGAAAAUGGAGCAGUGUGCCUCUUCUCAGGAGUGACUGAGG